UACGGGGGGAGCAAGCGUUGUUCGGAUUUACUGGGCGUAAAGGGCGCGUAGGCGGUCAGCACAAGUCAGUUGUGAAAUCUCCGGGCUUAACCCGGAAAGGUCAACUGAUACUGUGCGACUAGAGUGCGGAAGGGGCAACUGGAAUUCUCGGUGUAGCGGUGAAAUGCGUAGAUAUCGUAAGGAAGACCAGUGGCGAAGGCGGGUCUCUGGACAGUUCCUGACGCUGAGGCACGAAGGCCAGGGGAGCAAACGGG
Molecule: ribosomal RNA, 254 nt
Filed under: uncultured bacterium
Lineage: Bacteria
Description: partial 16S ribosomal RNA
Rfam family: Bacterial small subunit ribosomal RNA
Source: RNAcentral